This 277-nucleotide long non-coding RNA is filed under the name Bos taurus (domestic cattle). RNAcentral describes it as "long non-coding RNA NONBTAT016051". Lineage: Eukaryota; Metazoa; Chordata; Mammalia; Artiodactyla; Bovidae. The record is from RNAcentral.
UAAAUGGGUUAAGCAAUCCAUUUUUAUGUAGACUGGAUUAUAUUACUUUGAUAUUCAAGUAGUAUGCUCACUAUCCCAUCAGGCAAAGUACUUCUAAAUUUGAAGCAGUAGUUCUGAUUGUUAAUCUGAAAAAACUAUGAUAAAUAUACUACAGAAUGUUAAGAAAACCUGGAAAUACAUGGAUUUUAGUAGAGUACUUUGAAUAGUGAAAAAUCUUAAAGAUGCAUAAAUUUCUAAAUGGAAUUUCAUUCUCUAUAUGAAGAUGUGAGUAAAAUGG